Molecule: ribosomal RNA, 386 nt
Filed under: Clostridioides difficile
Lineage: Bacteria; Bacillati; Bacillota; Clostridia; Peptostreptococcales; Peptostreptococcaceae
Description: bacterial LSU rRNA
Rfam family: Bacterial large subunit ribosomal RNA
Source: RNAcentral
AGCUUGAUUGCAAGACAUACAGGUCGAGCAAGGAUGAAAAUCGGACUUAGUGAUCCGGUGGUUCUGCGUGGAAGGGCCAUCGCUCAACGGAUAAAAGCUACCCUGGGGAUAACAGGCUUAUCUCCCCCAAGAGUCCACAUCGACGGGGAGGUUUGGCACCUCGAUGUCGGCUCAUCACAUCCUGGGGCUGUAGUAGGUCCCAAGGGUUGGGCUGUUCGCCCAUUAAAGUGGUACGCGAGCUGGGUUCAGAACGUCGUGAGACAGUUCGGUCCCUAUCCGUCGCAGGCGUAGGAAAUUUGAGAAGACCUGUCCUUAGUACGGGAGGACCGGGAUGGACGUACCUCUGGUGUACCAGUUGUCCUGCCAAGGGCAUGGCUGGGUAGCUA